CCUGAGGAAGGUUCCCAGUGACCUGCCCGCCCUCAUUCUUGGACCUGUCCAAUUCUCUCACGGGCACUGUGGCCUGGACUUAGUGACUGGCUUCUAACAGCUGGCAUCCCAGCAGGGGAAGCCAGCUGCCUCUCUCAAGUGCCCACAGAGAAGACUGUGUGAUGCAGAACAAAGGGUGGCCUCUGGAGGAGUUGAGGCAGAGCUCAGCCCUGACUCGGUCUCCAUGUUGGCUUUUAGGGACUUUGUGGAUUUGGGCAUAACAUUUGGGAGCUCGUCCGGGAUCCCCUAAUCCCACUGGGACUACCACCCGUAGAGUCUUCAACCAGCUGAAAAAGAAAAAAUUCACCUAUGGGCCUGGCUGAGACAGUAAGACUGCUGCUCUGGAUAUUUCUGCCUCCAAUACUGUGGAGACCUGGGUAUGACUAACUGUAUACGAACUCUGGUC
This is a long non-coding RNA of Arvicola amphibius (Eurasian water vole), 445 nucleotides long. RefSeq lists it as uncharacterized. The record is from RefSeq and is a predicted model, not a curated record. Lineage: Eukaryota; Metazoa; Chordata; Mammalia; Rodentia; Cricetidae. The transcript has 4 exons.